GUGCCAGACUCCUACGGGAGGCAGCAGUGGGGAAUAUUGCACAAUGGGCGAAAGCCUGAUGCAGCGACGCCGCGUGAGUGAAGAAGUAUUUCGGUAUGUAAAGCUCUAUCAGCAGGGAAGAAAAUGACGGUACCUGACUAAGAAGCCCCGGCUAACUACGUGCCAGCAGCCGCGGUAAUACGUAGGUGGCGAGCGUUAUCCGGAAUUACUGGGUGUAAAGGGAGCGUAGGCGGGGGAACAAGUUGAAUGUUUAAGAUAUGGGCUCAACUCAUAUAAGCGUUCAAAACUGUUUUUCUUGAGUGAAGUAGAGGUAAGCGGAAUUCCUAGUGUAGCGGUGAAAUGCGUAGAUAUUAGGAGGAACACCAGUGGCGAAGGCGGUCUGCUGGACAGCAACUGACGCUGAGGCGCGAAAGCGUGGGGAGCAAACAGGAUUAGAUACCCGAGUAA
This 447-nucleotide ribosomal RNA is filed under the name uncultured bacterium. RNAcentral describes it as "bacterial SSU rRNA". It matches the Rfam family "Bacterial small subunit ribosomal RNA", at positions 328 to 793 of the family's 1533-position model. The record is from RNAcentral.